This 250-nucleotide ribosomal RNA is filed under the name Ditylum brightwellii. RNAcentral describes it as "partial Bacterial large subunit ribosomal RNA". It matches the Rfam family "Bacterial large subunit ribosomal RNA", at positions 613 to 863 of the family's 2925-position model. Lineage: Eukaryota; Bacillariophyta; Thalassiosirophyceae; Lithodesmiales; Lithodesmiaceae. The record is from RNAcentral.
GAAUGAGCCUGCGAGUUAGUGAUGCGUGGCGAGGUUAACCCGUGGUGGGGGAGUCGUAGCGAAAGCGAGUCCGAUAAGGGCGUGAGUCGCGUGUUCUAGACCCGAAGCGGUGUGAUCUAUCCAUGGCCAGGAUGAAGCGUCGGUAAGACGUCGUGGAGGUCCGAACCCACUUCAGUUAAAAAUGGAGGGGAUGAGUUGUGGAUAGGGGUGAAAGGCCAAUCAAACACCGUGAUAGCUGGUUCUCCCCGAA